UCCUGUCCAGCACUGCUCGUGGUUGGGGAGUCCGUGAGCGGAUCCGGAUUCAGGGGCGACAUCUCCGAGUAGGCACGGCCCACCAGCUGAAGUUUGGGCGUGCGCCGCAUGGUUAUGGCGAUUACAAACGGUUAAUGGUGAGGUUCACACAAAACUGGGCAUCUUCGGGAGGAAUCGGGUGAUUUAUACGAUCAACAUAUAUUAUAUUCAGUUUGUCUAGGCAAAUUAGCGAAUGCCGCGAUUGCAAUCUAUUUCAAA
Drosophila simulans is the source of this 258-nucleotide long non-coding RNA. RefSeq lists it as uncharacterized. The transcript has 2 exons. The record is from RefSeq and is a predicted model, not a curated record. NCBI's taxonomy places the organism in Eukaryota, Metazoa, Arthropoda, Insecta, Diptera, Drosophilidae.